AUAGAUGCUCCUGGUCCUAUAUACGUACCCUUGGUCCUAUAUAAACCCCAUAUAAAGCCCAUAGGACCCCCACAGCACCCUAUAGAACCCCAGAGGAUCCCAUAGGACCCUAUAGAACCCCAUAGGACCCUAUAGAACCCCACAGAACCCCAUAGGACCCCCAUAGGGCCCCCAUAGGGACCCUAUAGAACCCCACAGGACCCCACAGGACCCUAUAGAACCCCAUGGGACCCCCACAGAACCCCAUAGGACCCCCAUAGAACCCCAUAGGACCCCACAGGACCCCAUAGAACCCUAUAGGACCCUAUAGAACCCCAUAGGACCCCCAUAGGACCCCAUAGGACCCUAUAGGACCCCACAGGACCCCAUAGAACCCCAUAGGACCCCAUAGACCCACAGCACCCCAUAGGUCUCAGCUGUGCUUGCUGUGCUGGCAGUUGAGCAGCUCCGCGAAGCGCUGCAGCCGCAUGUUGGGUCCACAUCAUCACCCCUGGUCCCAUAUAAACCCCAUAGGGACCCCAUGGGACCCUAUAGAACCCCAUAGGACCCCAUAGGACCCCAUAGGACCCUAUAGAGCCCCAUAGCACCCCAUAGGACCCUAUAGAACCCCAUAGAACCCUAUAGGACCCCAUAGGACCCUAUAGAACCCCAUAGGGACCCUAUAGAACCCCAUAGGACCCCCAUAGAACCCUAUAGGACCCCACAGGACCCCAUAGAACCCUAUAGGACCCCAUAGAACCCUAUAGAACCCUAUAGAACCCCAUAGGACCCCACAGGACCCCAUAGGACCCUAUAGAACCCCAUAGGACCCCAUAGAACCCCAUAGGACCCCAUAGGACCCUACAGAACCCCAUAGGACCCCAUAGGAGCAGUGUUGGGUCCAUAAACCCCAUAGAACCCUAUAGAACCCCAUAGGACCCCAUAGAACCCCAUAGGACCCCAUAGGACCCUAUAGAACCCCACAGGACCCCAUAGGACCCUAUAGGACCCCAUAGAACCCCAUAGAACCCUAUAGGACCCCAUAGCCCCCCACAGAACCCUAUAGGUCCCCCAUAGGACCCCAUAGGACCCCACAGGACCCCACAGGACCCCAUAGGACCCCACAGGGACCCCACAGGAAGCCAUAG
This 1127-nucleotide long non-coding RNA is filed under the name Coturnix japonica (Japanese quail). RNAcentral describes it as "lncRNA (ENSCJPG00005001800.1)". Lineage: Eukaryota; Metazoa; Chordata; Aves; Galliformes; Phasianidae. The record is from RNAcentral.